Molecule: ribosomal RNA, 253 nt
Filed under: uncultured bacterium
Lineage: Bacteria
Description: partial 16S ribosomal RNA
Rfam family: Bacterial small subunit ribosomal RNA
Source: RNAcentral
UACGGAGGGGGCUAGCGUUGUUCGGAAUUAUUGGGCGUAAAGGGCGCGUAGGCGGCCCGAUAAGUCUGAUGUGAAAUCCCUCGGCCCAACCGGGGAACUGCAUUUGAAACUGUUCGGCUCGAGUCCGGGAGAGGGUAGUGGAAUUCCCAGUGUAGCGGUGAAAUGCGUAGAUAUUGGGAGGAACACCGGUGGCGAAGGCGGCUACCUGGACCGGUACUGACGCUGAGGCGCGAAAGCUGGGGUAGCAAACAGG